UGGGCAACCUGCCCCAGACACAGGGAUAACCCCGGGAAACCGGGGCUAAUACCGGAUACUCCGGUCGAGCCGCAUGGCUCGAUCGGGAAAGCUCCGACGGUCUGGGAUGGGCCCGCGGCCUAUCAGCUUGUUGGUGGGGUAACGGCCUACCAAGGCGACGACGGGUAGCUGGUCUGAGAGGACGACCUGCCACACUGGAACUGAGAUACGGUCCAGACUCCUACGGGAG
Molecule: ribosomal RNA, 229 nt
Filed under: uncultured bacterium
Lineage: Bacteria
Description: partial 16S ribosomal RNA
Rfam family: Bacterial small subunit ribosomal RNA
Source: RNAcentral